This 253-nucleotide ribosomal RNA is filed under the name uncultured bacterium. RNAcentral describes it as "partial 16S ribosomal RNA". It matches the Rfam family "Bacterial small subunit ribosomal RNA", at positions 524 to 776 of the family's 1533-position model. The record is from RNAcentral.
UACGUAGGGCGCAAGCGUUGUCCGGAAUUAUUGGGCGUAAAGAGCUCGUAGGCGGUUUGUCACGUCGGCUGUGAAAACCCGAGGCUCAACCUCGGGCCUGCAGUCGAUACGGGCAGACUAGAGUGCUGUAGGGGAGACUGGAAUUCCUGGUGUAGCGGUGAAAUGCGCAGAUAUCAGGAGGAACACCGGUGGCGAAGGCACUUUACUGGGCUAUUACUAACACUCAGAGACGAAAGCUAGGGUAGCAAAUGGG